AGCGAACGCUGGCGGCAGGCCUAACACAUGCAAGUCGAACGAACUCAUCGUAGUUGGUUGCUGACGCGUGAGGAGCGCGUCGGAACGGGCCGUUUGGUUCGGGAUUACACAGGUUCACUUGUGCUAACACCGGAUAUGUCCUGCUAGUACAACAUUUAACGUACUUGUAGCGGCCCGCGACCUUUUAGCUAGGUGGUAAUGUAAGAGCUCACGAAGGCUUCGAUCAUUAGCUGGUUUGAGAGGCUGACCAGCGACACUGGGACUGAGACGCGGCCCAGACUCCUACGGGAGGCAGGCGUGGGGGAUCUAGCGCAAUCGGCGAAAGGCUGAAGGAGCCCUGCUGGGUGAAUGAUGAAGGUCGUAGGGAUGUACAAUUCUUUAACAGGCCACGAUACUGACGGUACCCGGAGAAGAAGCCCCGGCUAACUUCGUG
This 433-nucleotide ribosomal RNA is filed under the name uncultured bacterium. Its description in RNAcentral is "partial 16S ribosomal RNA". It matches the Rfam family "Bacterial small subunit ribosomal RNA", at positions 29 to 507 of the family's 1533-position model. The record is from RNAcentral.